GGCUGCAUCAAAACAGCGACGAUUCUCUGUAUGGUUUUCAGCACUGUUGUGGAUGCAAAGGCGUGCAUGUUGUAGGAUUGCCAGCUCUGCAUAGGGAAACUCCUGGAGACUUGGGGAAAGAGCCUGGAGAGGGUGCGCUUUGGGGAGGGGUGAGACCUUAGCAGGGUAUAAUGCCAUGGAGUCCACCCUCCAAAGCUGCCCUUUUCUCCAGGGGAACUGAUCUUUGUGGUCUGGAAAUUAAUUGUAAUUCUGGGAGAUAUCUACAUCCCACCUGGAGGUUGGCAACCCUAUGUUGCCGAUGGGGUUCCUGCAUGCUUAGAUAUUUUGUGCAUUUUCUCCAUUUGCCCCUGUAACUUUCCCCUUCCACACAUGCUUUGCAUCAACUUGCAUUGGAUAUUGGGGGUGUGCUCAUGACAUUUCCUGUGGCUUCUCACCACACCUCUCCCCCCCCUUUUGAUUCACACAUGGGUAUAAUGCAAUAGCAAAAAGAGCACUAUUCUUUAUUUAUAUCCCUUUUUUCCAUUGUGGGGACCCAGAGUGGCUCAUUACAUUGUUCUUCCUUCCUCUGCUUUAUCCUUGCAAAAGCAACUCUAAGGCAGGAGAGGGUGAGAGAUUGUAAUGGGCCCAAGAUCACCUGGCAAACUUGCAUGGCAGAGCGGGGAUUUGAACCUGGAUCUCCCAGGCCCCAAACCACCACUUUAUCUACUACGCCAUGCCAGCUGAAUGUGGAGUAUUCCUCAGCUUUAAGCACUGCCCACCAUUUCCUUUUUAUCCAGUACAUGGGGAAAUCAUUGCUCUGUGUAAUUUGGAAUGACUGGCUGCCCAUUUAAUUCCUGUCUGAAACGUUUGGUUGUACCGUGAAUUCCUGCAGUGUAACUUUAAAGCAUGGCUGGGGAAAGUACCAGCAGCCAAACCAAGAUGUCCCCCCUCCUCAGUUUCUAUCGCUUGUUGUUGGAUGUCUUGCUCUGUGCUCUAAGGAGCAGCUUGGACCUUUGUCUGGUGCUUCUGCGUAACCAACAUGAGAGGAGAAAAAGAUCUCGGGAAUGGAUCGCCUCUUGCCACAAGGUUCUCCACAGCAAGGGGAGAGGACAGCCCCAUUGGUUGGCCAGGUUUCCCCGGAAAUGCCCAACAAGGUUGCGCUGGUAUGCCCUUGCUGAAGUGGGUGUACCCCGUCGCUGGUGGGUGUACCCCUGCCGCGAAGAUUGGUGGGAGAAGUUUGUCACAGAAGUCUGGGAUGCCGAAAAAUGGAUUGAAAACUUCCGCAUGAGCCGAGGCACGCUCUUCAGCAUCGUCGAAGUCCUCAGACCACGUAUCGAGCGCCAGCGCACUGUCAUGAGGGCACCGAUAGCGACAGAGAAGAGGGUUGCUAUCACAGUGUGGUGGCUUGCCAACAGAGAAUGCUACCGCCUCGUGGGCCAGCAGUUCGGGGUUGCCCGAUCCACGGUGGCAGAAAUAGUUGUGGAGGUGUGCUUUGCUAUGGAGCUAGACUUACUUCAUAAGACAGUGUGCCUUGGAGAGGUUGAUAAGAUCAUGGAUGGCUUUGGAUGCCUUGGCUUUCCUCACUGUAUUGGGGCACUCGGAGAGACCCACAUCCCUGUCAGAGCACCAGUCCGACAGGCCGAGGAGUACAGGAAGCAGUUUUGCUCCAUACUUCUCCAGGGGACAACGGAUCACACCGGUCGCUUCAUUGAUGUGGCGGUCGGAUGGAGCAGCCAUAAUCACAAUGCCCACAUCUUCAGGAACUCUUCCAUCUAUACAGCUAUGAAUGGAGGAGUUUUUGUGCCUGGGAACCCAACUAUCACCAUUGGCAACGUGCAAGUUCCACCCUUGAUUGUGGCGAACAGCAGCUAUCCGAUACGGCGCUGGCUUAUGAAGCCCUAUGAGGAACACGGUGACAGGAAUCAGUCCCUCUUCAACCACCGACUCAGCAAAGCCCAGAGUGUGGUUGAGUGUGCUUUCCGGCGACUCAAGGCCCGGUGGCAGUGCCUGACGGUGCUCCCAGUUGCGGAAGAGAAUGCCAUAGCGGUGGUGACGGCCUGUGUGAUUCUGCACAACAUCUGUGAGGAGAGAGGGCAUGCUGUCCUCGGUGACCUGCGUGAGAGACAGGCUCUACUUUUCCCCACAAAUGAAGAAACAUAUAAAUGCAACGAUGACUGUCAUUCUGCGGCAGGGAACACUGUGCGGGAUGCCAUCUCCGCGUUUAUGCAGAAAUCCCUGGCUGGACCAUGAACUCCAGAAUGCUUGAAUAAAGGCCACUGCUCUAAGGACCUGAUUCACUGGUGUAGCAACAGGAAGAGUGGUAAUUCAUUCCAUCCUGCAUCUUACCAAAUUCAAAUAGGAUGAUGCUCCUUUGUGUUCAGACCAGGCCUCAAUAUGAUCAUAGCAUUUGGGAAGGAAGAUGCAGCCCAACAAGCCAGCACUGGAGGCCAGGAUGGAGAAGAUCUGCACGGCUACCAUGUAUUUCCCUUUCGUGCUCAGGUAGGUGGGCACAAAGGACAC
RNA transcript from Eublepharis macularius, 2499 nucleotides. It is a transcript of the gene named putative nuclease HARBI1, with no coding region annotated. The transcript is spliced from 4 exons. The record is from RefSeq and is a predicted model, not a curated record. NCBI's taxonomy places the organism in Eukaryota, Metazoa, Chordata, Lepidosauria, Squamata, Eublepharidae.